Molecule: long non-coding RNA, 1140 nt
Organism: Perca flavescens (yellow perch)
Lineage: Eukaryota; Metazoa; Chordata; Actinopteri; Perciformes; Percidae
Exons: 3
Source: RefSeq, a predicted model, not a curated record
UCCUCUGGCGGUCCUACCCAAUUAAACUCCCUAAAGCAGAAGAAGCGACUGGAUACUUUAGCAUGGUUGAGUUGUGGGAUCAUCCACGGAAGACAGAUCCACAGGGUUAUAUCAUCCACUCGCAAGGCAGAGGCAAAGGCACUAUAGCACCGGCGCUGGUCGCGCUAGCCGCGCUAACAGCGCUAGCCGUGCUAGCAUCCUGGGCUGGCAGAGAAGAUGUGCUCGUUGUUGUGGAUCUCAGCUCUCCUUCAUCUCCUGGUUGCAGCGAUGACUCUGAGACCGUUCGUGCACGUUAAAGCUAAAGAUGAAACAAAUGCCCAGUCAUGUCCAUUUCAUCUCCUCCUGGCUCCGUUCCCACCCUUAUCCUCCUUCUCCACCCCCGGCAGGCUUUGACAAGAGAAUACCAGGGCCUAUUGCUGUGUCGUUGACGAGGUAUACAGGCUAUUCAAUGAUUGGUGACACAUACGAUCGUCGUCUUCAAAGCCGUGAAAGGUGGAGGUGUCGCUCUCCGAGGUGGUGCCGAACAGCUCCUCUGCUCCAGUAAAAGUCCCAUCUUCCUUCUCUUCUCCACGGUCAGCUGGCACACGGGACAGCAGAGGAACAGAGUCGGUGCACAGGUGAUGGAUAACAAGCGAGAGCACCAUCAUGAGGCAAGAGCAUCCAUUUCUUCCCACCAUACAUUACUACCCAUCCACACACUUUGUAUUAGUUUGGAUGGAAAAGUUAUGUAUUGUAUGUAUAUUAUACUUUGGUGUACUCACUUUUGCAUUGGCAGGUUGAGUAGGGAGAUCCAGAUUUACCCGUUUUCUUGAUCGAGCCCUGGCAUUUAUUACAGUAGUUGUUGGAAAUAUUGGUCCCACCUGGACCCUUUGGACCUACAGGGAAAUUUAAAAAAAAGUUACAGCUGAGCAUGUCAAACCUUUUCCAUACAAUACUUUGUAUUCUGGUACAAAAAUAAGUAUUGGUUGUGUAGAUGCAAUGUUUUGUAGAUUAUUUCUCUAAUUUGAAUGUAAGAUGUUUUCUAUUUUGACUUUGUGCUUGUCGAUUUCUUGAUUAUGAGGAAAUGUUUUUUGGUGUUUUCUUGGCUUUUUUCUUGGAGUGGCCUCAGAUGGAUCACUUUGAUUUUUAAUACCUGUCCCA